RNAcentral lists this ribosomal RNA (254 nucleotides) under uncultured bacterium. Its description in RNAcentral is "partial 16S ribosomal RNA". It matches the Rfam family "Bacterial small subunit ribosomal RNA", at positions 524 to 776 of the family's 1533-position model. The record is from RNAcentral.
UACGUAGGGUGCAAGCGUUGUCCGGAAUUAUUGGGCGUAAAGAGCUCGUAGGCGGUCUGUCGCGUCGGAUGUGAAAACCCAGGGCUCAACCCUGGGCCUGCAUUCGAUACGGGCAGACUAGAGUUCGGUAGGGGAGACUGGAAUUCCUGGUGUAGCGGUGAAAUGCGCAGAUAUCUGGAGGAACACCGGUGGCGAAGGCGGCAUCCUGGACCAACACUGACGCUGAGUGAGCGAAAGCCAGGGGAGCAAACGGG